Molecule: non-coding RNA, 637 nt
Organism: Pelobates cultripes (western spadefoot toad)
Lineage: Eukaryota; Metazoa; Chordata; Amphibia; Anura; Pelobatidae
Source: the annotation of a GenBank genome assembly
UAUAAAAAAAAUUGUAUAAAAAAAACAGAGAAGUAUGAGGGAGAAAACUAAUUACCUAACUCAAAGAAUUGGACUGAUGUCAAAGUCUAUAUUUAAAGUUUGCAAUUCAAAACUCCAAUUGCUCUCUCUCUUGCUGAGAUUGAGAGUAUCAUUAACACCUCUCCAAUUGCUCACUACUUUGUGUAUGGCCAUAAACUGCAUUUCUUUAGGAUUAGAACUUUGAGCUUAUAAAAAAAAUGUUUGGACAGGCUAUGGUUGAUAAAACCUUUUUUUAUGUUUCUUACAUGUUCCCUUAUGCGGGUUUUAAGAGGCCUUGAUGUUUUUCCUAUAUAUUGGUACCUGCAUGUACAUUCUAGUAAGUAAAUAACGUUUUUUGAUUCGCAUGAUAUAAACGAUAAUACAUUAAAAUUAUUUUUAGUAAUAGAGGAUGUAAAAUGGUUAUGGUCUAAAAACUUUUGUUUUUGCCCCCAUUUUUCAUGAGCUGAACACAAAGAUCUAAGACCUUUUCUAUGUACACAAAAGGCACACCUGUGCAAUAAUCAUGCUGUCUAAACAGCAUCUUGAUAUGCCACACCUGUGAGGUGGAUGGAUUAUCUCGGCAAAGGAGAAGUGCUCACUAACACAGAUUUAGACAGAU